AGAAUCAACGCUGGCGGCGUGCCUAACACAUGCAAGUCGAUCGAGAAAGUGGAGCAAUCCAUGAGUAAAGAGGCGCACGGGUGAGUAACACGUGACUAACCUACCCUCGAGUGGGGAAUAACCUGGGGAAACCCGGGCUAAUACCGCAUAAUACCCACGGGUCAAAGGAGCAAUUCGCUUGAGGAGGGGGUCGCGGCAGAUUAGUUAGUUGGCGGGGUAAUGGCCCACCAAGACGAUGAUCUGUAUCCGGCCUGAGAGGGCGCACGGACACACUGGAACUGAAACACGGUCCAGACUCCUACGGGAGGCAGCAGUGGGAAUUUUGCGCAAUGGGGGAAACCCUGACGCAGCAACGCCGCGUGGAGGAUGAAGUCCCUUGGGACGUAAACUCCUUUCGACCGGGACGAUAAUGACGGUACCGGAUGAAGAAGCCCCGGCUAACUUCGCGCCAGCAGCCGC
RNAcentral lists this ribosomal RNA (459 nucleotides) under uncultured bacterium. RNAcentral describes it as "SSU rRNA". It matches the Rfam family "Bacterial small subunit ribosomal RNA", at positions 26 to 518 of the family's 1533-position model. The record is from RNAcentral.